Non-coding RNA from Pelobates cultripes (western spadefoot toad), 315 nucleotides. The record is from the annotation of a GenBank genome assembly. Lineage: Eukaryota; Metazoa; Chordata; Amphibia; Anura; Pelobatidae.
UGGGAGGUAAAAUAUCAAUUAACUGUUCCCCUGGGUGGUCUGAUGUUCGGUAUUUUGGGCUGUGUGUUAUAGUAGGAAUAUUUCCACGAAGACUAGCCAUUCGGUUUUUGUUUGACACAUCCAGCAGCGUUGUUAUUUAAGUCCAGGCAAAAGCAUAGGUACAAUCAUAGUUCUGUUACACUAACCAACGGGACGUCCCUCUAGUGGCUGUCUGGUAGACAGUCACUAGAGGUGGAGUUAUCCCUGAGAGGUAAUUAUUGCAGUUUCUUAGAGACUGCAAUAAUUACCACUGUAGGGUUAAGGGACAUAUAAUGU